Molecule: unclassified non-coding RNA, 1293 nt
Filed under: Tolpis barbata
Lineage: Eukaryota; Viridiplantae; Streptophyta; Magnoliopsida; Asterales; Asteraceae
Description: partial external transcribed spacer
Source: RNAcentral
AUAGAGAGCUAGCAGGCAGGGUGCUUGGUCGGAUAACCUGCUAGCUCGAGUUGCGGACGGCUGUGGGUUAAUUUUCGAGAAGGCAUGCCUCCUGUGUGAUGUCCAGGUCGAGCAUCACGGCCACGUUGCGUAGGAUCUCGAACCUAUACAAGCGCAACGUGGCUACAGCCGGAUGGUGUCGUUCGUCAUGCGACGACUAAGACAUGUCGUUCGUCAUGCGACGACUAAGACAUGUCGUUCGUCAUGCGACGACUAAGACAUCCGGUAUCGACCUCAACCGAAAAUUUAUCCAAGCACCCACCCGGACCCGACGAUGAACAUCGAGACCCUGUCCCAAAGCACCAAAGUGCCAACGAUUUGGAACAUGACUCCGAUCCCAAACACCGAGGAGCCGACGAUUUGGAUCCUGACCCUGACCCGAAGCGAGAAGGAGCCGACGAUUUGGAUCAACACCCCGAUCCCAAGCACCAAGGAGCCGACGAUUUGGAUCAAAACCAACAUCCCAAGCACCAAGGUGCCUGGUUGAUAUGGUUCACGAUCCCGAUCUGGAGCUCCAGGGCGCCGAGGAUUUCGAUCAAGAUCCCGAUUUGAAGCACCGAGUAGCCGAGGAUAUGGAUCAAGACCCCGGUCCGAAGCGACAAGGAGGCAAGGAUUUGGAUCGCCACUCCGAUCAAAGGCACCAAGGCGUCGAGGGAUUGGAUCGAGAUCCCGGUCCCAAUCAUGAAGUAGGCUAUGUUAUUUCCUGUAUUCCACACCGUUCAGGGCAUUUUGGUGGUCGUAUCGGCUUUUUGUUGCUUGCUUGGCGUUACUGCCAAGGGAGUGGCUGGAAGCUAGGUCGUUCUCUGGAAUGCUUGUUGUAAAGGUGUAUGAGUUGUGUUUGGCUUGUUACGGGUGUUUGUUGGCUGCUUGUGCAGGAACUUUCAUGCGUCCAAGCCUCUUCAGUUGUGCUACAAGGCCUUGUUUGUCUUGUGCAUACGGUGGGUUUCCUGUGUUGCAUACCUAAUCAAGGGCAUCGUAUGGCUUGAUCGAAGUAAAUAUUCGUAAUGCGCUGCUUGCGGCGUUGAACGAACCUCGAAGUGGUCUCUGUGGCCCAUGUUGUCCUUGCUCAUGCAUGGAUGGCAUGGCCCUCGGAGCGUCGCUUGGUCUCUUGGAUACGGAACCUGAUGAUGUGGGCGGUAGGGUCUUUGAUGAUUCUACCUUCGCCUUCCAUGAGCGUUCUCGCUUCUCUAAACGACCGUCUGUCAUGCGUCGGCAUGUCCGUGCAUGGUGGGCUUAGUCGAAGAGGAAUGCUAC